GAUGAAGAACGUAGCGAAAUGCGAUAAGUAAUGUGAAUUGCAGAAUUCAGUGAAUCAUCGAAUCUUUGAACGCACAUUGCGCCCCUUGGUAUUCCGAGGGGCAUGCCUGUUCGAGCGUCAUUAUAACCCCUCAAGCUCAGCUUGGUGUUGGGGCCUGCUGCACUGGCAGCCCUUAAAAUCAGUGGCGGCGCCAUCUGGCUCUAAGCGUAGUAAUUCUUCUCGCUAUGGAGUCCUGGUGGAUGCUUGCCAUCAACCCCCAAUUUUUCUAUGGUUGACCUCGGAUCAGGUAGGGAUACCCGAUGAACUUAAGCAUAUCAAUAAGCGGAGGA
RNAcentral lists this unclassified non-coding RNA (329 nucleotides) under soil metagenome. Its description in RNAcentral is "partial contains 5.8S ribosomal RNA, internal transcribed spacer 2, and large subunit ribosomal RNA". The stretch from base 1 to 120 matches the Rfam family "5.8S ribosomal RNA", at positions 35 to 154 of the family's 154-position model. The record is from RNAcentral.